GAUGAAGAACGUAGCGAAAUGCGAUAAGUAGUGUGAAUUGCAGAAUUCAGUGAAUCAUCGAAUCUUUGAACGCACAUUGCGCCCCUUGGUAUUCCAUGGGGCAUGCCUGUUCGAGCGUCAUUUGUACCUUCAAGCUCUGCUUGGUGUUGGGUGUUUGUCUCGCCUCUGCGCGUAGACUCGCCUCAAAACAAUUGGCAGCCGGCGUAUUGAUUUCGGAGCGCAGUACAUCUCGCGCUUUGCACUCAUAACGACGACGUCCAAAAGUACAUUUUUGCACUCUUGACCUCGGAUCAGGUAGGGAUACCCGCUGAACUUAAGCAUAUCAAUAAGCGGAGGA
This 337-nucleotide unclassified non-coding RNA is filed under the name soil metagenome. RNAcentral describes it as "partial contains 5.8S ribosomal RNA, internal transcribed spacer 2, and large subunit ribosomal RNA". The stretch from base 1 to 120 matches the Rfam family "5.8S ribosomal RNA", at positions 35 to 154 of the family's 154-position model. The record is from RNAcentral.